Molecule: ribosomal RNA, 480 nt
Filed under: uncultured bacterium
Lineage: Bacteria
Description: bacterial SSU rRNA
Rfam family: Bacterial small subunit ribosomal RNA
Source: RNAcentral
AUUGAACGCUGGGCGGCAGGCUUAACACAUGCAAGUCGAGCGGUAACACUUCGGGUGACGAGCGGCGGACGGGUGAGUAAUACAUAGGAAUCUGCCUAGUAGUGGGGGAUAACGUAGGGAAACUUACGCUAAUACCGCAUACAUCCGUACGGGGGAAAGCAGGGGAUCUUCGGACCUUGCGCUAUUAGAUGAGCCUAUGUCGGAUUAGCUAGUUGGUGGGGUAAAGGCUCACCAAGGCGACGAUCCGUAGCGGGUCUGAGAGGACGACCCGCCACACUGGAACUGAGACACGGUCCAGACUCCUACGGGAGGCAGCAGGUGGGGUAAUUUUGGACAAUGGGGGCAACCCUGAUCCAGCCAUUCCGCGUGAGUGAAGAAGGCCUUCGGGUUGUAAAGCUCUUUCAGCAGGAACGAAACGGUGGUCCCUAAUACGGACUACUAAUGACGGUACCUGAAGAAGAAGCACCGGCUAACUACGUG